Molecule: unclassified non-coding RNA, 806 nt
Filed under: Hevea brasiliensis (rubber tree)
Lineage: Eukaryota; Viridiplantae; Streptophyta; Magnoliopsida; Malpighiales; Euphorbiaceae
Source: RNAcentral
CAGAUUGUGUCUAAUCUUGAGAAGAUGAAGCUCCCCACCAAACCUUCAGGUGCAACAGGGGAUUCCAUACGCCAUGGAUCUGAUGACACUGCACGCCGACCGCCAUCUGUGAAGGCUGCACUUUCAGUAUCAUUUGGUCAGCGUGCUCCUCAUCGCGCAUCAACCAGGGACUCAUCACCUGUUCGUCGUACACUACUGCCACCCUCUUAUGAUAGAAUUAAUGAUGAUGCUAAAAGAUCUCCCAGUAGUCGUCAUAGCCAGAGUCGUGAAUAUUCUGAUAAAGAAUAUUCAAACAGGGACAGAGAUAGGGAUCGGGAUCCCCAUGGAAGAGACCGGGAAAGGGGCAGUGAUCGUGAUCGAGAUCGAGAUAGGUACCGUGAACGAGACCGGGAUAGGGACCUUGAACGAGACCGGCGCCAGGACAGGGACAGAGACCGAAGGUAUGAUUAUGAUCGGAGGUCCGGGUAUUCUGAGAGAGAAAGCAGAAGGGAUUAUGAAUGGAGCAGCCAUGAUGGAAGUAGGCACUACAGGAAAAGUAGUUCUCAUAGAAGCCAUAACCGGAGUAGGAGUCGCAGCCGAAGCAGUAGCAGAAGUCGAAUUUUGCAAAACAGUGUUGCUCCAUUUGAUCGUCAUUCGACUCCACAGAGGGAUGGAAGCAAGGAGAAGACCUCUGCAUCUAGCAAUUUGGCAAAGCUCAAGGAUCUGUAUGGUGACUUGGGUGAUCAGAAAGGGGAUGCUGGUCUGGAAAGGCUAUCUCGAAGGGAUAAUGGCAAUGAGGAGGUCAUUAGGCUUGGUGGUUCUACAUG